UUAAGUUCAGCGGGUAGUCCUACCUGAUUUGAGGUCAAGUUUCGAAACACACGCCGUCAGGCAUGGGAGAGAUUAGAAGCACAGGACCUAUUCAUGCAUGUCCGACGCUCCAGCCACGACGAUCAUUAUCACGUCGAAGGCCGUGCACGUCAAAGACUUGCUGCCCUUUGCUAAUGCAUUUCAGGAGAGCCGACAGCUCG
This 200-nucleotide unclassified non-coding RNA is filed under the name Boletus sp. Its description in RNAcentral is "partial internal transcribed spacer 2". The record is from RNAcentral. Lineage: Eukaryota; Fungi; Basidiomycota; Agaricomycetes; Boletales; Boletaceae.